CUGUGAUUGGCCCACCCUGGAUGGUGCCCAUCUGCAGAGACAGAUGGGGUCAGUCACACAGAAAGCUGAUGGCCUGAGAGUUGGGGCGAGGAGACCCAGGAGCCAUCAGAAAAGGGGACGGAAGCAGGGGGGUGAGCAUGGCAGCAGCCUGCAGGAUGGCUUCCCAUGGCCGCUGUGGGGUGGGAACUGGAGCAGUGUUUUCCCUCCCAUGUGUCGGGUCUCCAGACCCUGCACCCAGCGGUGCCACUCGACGCUUCCCCUGGGCCCCAAAGUGUCGCCCUGGGCAGGCCCGUCAGGGAAGGUGCUUGCCGAGGGCGAGGCCCAGGGCAGGCAACCCCAUCAGGAUUCAGGCUGUGGGGCAGAAAGGGACAGGCCACCUUCCAAGGUGGCAGCCAGGCCAAGCCAGCAGGCCCGGGCCUGGGAGGGGCCUUGGGGCCAGAACCGGAAUUGGGCCAAAGCAGCAGCAAGCCCCGCAGGGCCAUCCCGCCGUGGCUCAGCAAGGCGCCCGGCACCGGAGCUGCGGGGCUGCACCUGAAGGCGGGGGCUGAGCCAGAGGUCAGCGGGUGGACGCGGGCCAGGGGGGCUGGGAACGUGUCUGAGUGUGUGAGUGAGAGGUGGCGUGCGUGUGUGGGCCAGUGUGAGGGCACACGUGUGCACACGUGCUGUGACCGCAGUCGGGACCAGGGUAGACGCAGGUUCUCAUGUGGGGUCUGAGGGGGCCCGACUUUGGACACUGAGGAUGGGGCGGGGCUGAGAGGCUGCAGACGGGCCGCCCAGUGCUGGGCUCCUGCGGAGUGCAGGGCGGGCACUGGAGCUGCGGAGCCGGUUCAGGGCCCCAGGAGGACAGGCAGCUCAGGACGACAGUGACAGCUGCUGCUUCCACUGGCCGGGGGUGGCCGUCAGUGCCUCUCACCCCACAAGCAACAGACAGCCCACACAUCGCAGUUCAGACGCAGGGCAGCACGUGACACAGCCAAGCUGGUUUGAGAGCAGGGCCGUCCUGACUCUUAGAGGACACAGGACAUCGGCUCCGGGGCCGUCCAUUGGGAAAGGAUGUACCUGGAGCCAGGGCAGGACAAGGCCCCAUGGCGGGGCAGGGUAGGGGCCCGACUCCACGGAGCUCUGUGGCCUGGGUCUCACGUUCGAGAAGAGCCUCCAAGUUCGGACUUCGGGCAUCUCUUCCGAUGAGGCAACACCUCCAGUCGCCGUAACUCAGGUUGGGCAUUUCUGUAUAUUGGGACCUCUGCCAUGAGCGGGUGACCUGGCUUCACCCAGGCUCUGAGAGAUGCAGGCGGGCACUGCCCAGCCCCUGACCGUGGCAGUGGCCUCCUGGCCUGUCUCCCGGCACCCCUCCCCCUCCCCUAUCCACUCGGCACCCAGACCCCCCCAGGGCUCUUUCCAAAGCAGAGCAGGUCACACUGUUCUCCUGCUUAAAACCGUCCAGCGAUCGUCCCAUUAUAGAAUAAAACAAUUCUAUUUUAUUUCUAAUUUUAUAAUAUAUCUCUAUAAAUAAUUUAUGGACUAAAAAUCCAAGUGCAGCCUUUCCUGCGCACAGGGCCGGCCCAGCCUCCCUCUCCCACCCGUCCCCUCCCAUCCCUUCCCGCCUCCCUCCCCGCCCUCUGCUUCCACCCUCCUUCCCCUGCCUCAGCCCUAUUCACCCUCAGGACAGCUGCCCUGGACAAUGCCCCCCGGCCGGGCUUGGAGCCCCUGAACUUCCCCUCAUCACAGGUGAAAUGGGAAAAAAAAGGUGUGACCACCUAAUUCACCGCCAUGGCUCCCAGAGAUGGCAAGAUGCCCGAGGGCGUGUCUGUGGGGUCCCCGUGAUCCCAGGGCCUGGCACGCUGGAAGCUGUCUUGACGCAGAUGUGGUCACAGAGGUGCAGCGUGGCCCGUGACUUGCUCAGAGCCACACAGAAGUGCAGAGCGGAACAGAACAGUCGCCUGCCAUGGGGUGCCUCAUCCACACACCUUCCAACUCAGCAAGGAGGGUGGGGCUCAGAGGGGAGCCACUGUCGGUGAACUCCGGCACCCCCCGCCACCCAGCCGUCCGACCCCCAACAACUCCCCUCCUGGUUUGCUCCUCAGCUGAACACGACUGACUCCUCUUGAUUGUUGUGCUCAGAGGAGCCUCCCUCAUGACCUCCGCCCCCUUCUGUCUGGGAGAGGCUGGGGGCAGGGCAGGGUGCCGGGAGGAGGGGCCGGUUCCGAGGGCAGCCUGUGGGCAGAGUGCCAACUGCUGGAUGGAAGGUCCUGGAGCAAGGAGAGGAUGCAGAUAGCGGGGAAGGAGGGAGCCAGGGAGAAUCAGACGCGGGAAGGACGGAGGGGAAAGUCGGGGCGGGGGCCUCUCUCCUCUUUCAGCCGUGGGCUUGGAGAAGAUGACUUGGCUCCACCUUCUGGCUGGACAGAGCUGCCUUCCCAAUCUGCUGCCUCCUCCUUUGAGCACCUACUAUGCGCCAGGUGCUUUGUAUGUGCCGCCUCUUAACCCACACCACCACCCUCCACAGAAGAGAACAGUCUCCAUUUUGCAAGUGAAAAAAACUAAAGUUCAGAGAGGUUAGGAUGCAGCCUUGGUGCCCAAAGAUGGAGCUGCCUGCUUAUGACCAUGGGGAUUAAAGACACAGCUGGCGACGGUGCCAUCGGGAAGCUGGGAGGAGCCUGGUUCCUGACGGCUCCUUGAAGCCCUGGUACCAGCCUGGCAGCUGCCAACCUUGAGAGUCCUCGUGACAGGAGGAAAAUAAGGCCGUAUUGGUUAAGCUGCUGUGGUUAGCGCAUGAAGCAAGCCGAAUUGUAACCAAUGCGAUUCUAAUUAAAGACAAGGUACAAAAUGCGGUGUCGUGGGUUGACUCGAUAUGUCCUCUUGGAACCUCAGAAUGUGACCUUAUUUGGAAUGAAGGUCUUUGCAGAUGUGUUAAGGUGAGGACCUCAAGAUGAGGUCAUCCUGGAUCAGUGUGGGCCCUAAAUCCAACGACACGGGUCAUGAGAAGACACACAGGGAAGACGCCGUGUGAAGAUGAGGCAGAGGUGGGAGUGAUGAGGCCACAAGCCAAGGAGCAAACGUCAGGAGCCGCCAGUUGCUGGAAGAGGCAGGGAAGGGUCCACCCAGGAGCCUUCUGAGGGAGCACGGCCCCUCACAGCUCAUUUCAGGCUUCCGGCCUCCAGAACUGUGAGAGAAGAAAUUCCUGUUGUUUGAAGUGACCAAGUUUGUGGUCAUUUGUUACAGCAGCCCUAAGAC
Molecule: long non-coding RNA, 3231 nt
Filed under: Equus caballus (horse)
Lineage: Eukaryota; Metazoa; Chordata; Mammalia; Perissodactyla; Equidae
Description: lncRNA (ENSECAG00000049457.1)
Source: RNAcentral